UACGUAGGGUGCGAGCGUUGUCCGGAAUUACUGGGCGUAAAGAGCUCGUAGGUGGUUUGUCGCGUUGUUCGUGAAAACUCACAGCUCAACUGUGGGCGUGCGGGCGAUACGGGCGGGCUGGAGUUCGGUAGGGGAGACUGGAAUUCCUGGUGUAGCGGUGAAAUGCGCAGAUAUCAGGAGGAACACCGGUGGCGAAGGCGGGUCUCUGGGCCGAUACUGACGCUGAGGAGCGAAAGCGUGGGGAGCGAACAGG
RNAcentral lists this ribosomal RNA (253 nucleotides) under uncultured bacterium. RNAcentral describes it as "partial 16S ribosomal RNA". It matches the Rfam family "Bacterial small subunit ribosomal RNA", at positions 524 to 776 of the family's 1533-position model. The record is from RNAcentral.